GUUGUGAAGUUUCCGGGCUGUUCUGUCCCUUCUGUUUCUUGACUCUGAGUGGCCUGAGUUGUCGAAGGCUUUCAUGUCCGGAAUUGCUGAGUUACUAACUGGACCAGUAGAAAUAAUGAUCAAUGGAAACCAAGGCAGCUGAAACAGCCACGAUCAAGAUGAUUGCAUCUUUCACAACUGAAUCUGAAAUUAGAGAUCCUUAUGGUUACAGACCUGCUCUCCAAUGCAUGUAUUUGCUGAAGGGGAAAGUUCGGAACUUCAUGUGAAUACACAAAAUUUCAGAUAUCAACCCUAUUGAAAUGAAGGUUUUGUGGCUCAAGAAUACAAGUCAUGCCAGAGGACCUAGCGAAUGGCGAGAGAAGUCAUAUGUCAACCAUGGAUAAAUGAAACUGCAUGUACAGACACAGCGGUCAUACUGUAUAUGUAUAUAUAUUGUCAAUAUAAGCCUGUCUGGACCUUGAGAUCUUCAAGAAAGGAUUUUGUUUAGUCUCAUCUCUUUGAAUUCUGUGGUUGCCCACAGGCUCUAGAACUUCACCUAUAUUAGGGAUGGAUCUUUUUUCAUUGCAGUCUUUCCAUCAGCAGAUAUAGGUGUGUGUUUUAAUUAUUCUGAAAGUCUUUUAGACCUGAAGAUUUUUAAGGAAAUAACUGUAUGAAGAUAUUGAAUUGUCUGAAAUUAUUUUACUGUUUUUAUUUUUUUAUCAAUUUAAGUGUCUCUUUCAAAUUAUUUUUGUACAGUUAAGAAUUCUACUUUAAUGUUGAUGUUUAGUAUGAUUUUGAUCUGUAUUCUUACUGUUUUAAUUUCCAAGCUGAUUUGAAUCCCUAUCUUGGGGGGAAGGGAAGAGGAUAAAGUUGUUCUUAUUAUUUAAAUUAAAUUUGUGUGUGUGUGUAGAAUUAAAGGUGACACAAAAAUGCAGCAAUUUCCAUUUAAGGUAAGAGAGAAAUCCACAAUUUGAUACACAUCUGAGUCAGAACAUGGGAUUUCAACAAGCUUGUUUUGACCUUUCACACAUCCCUACUCUCAGUGAGGAUAACAUUUCCAAAUGCAUUUUAGUUGCAUUGACCUGACACCUUGCCCUAAAGCUGACCUGCCAUAUCCAUGGAUUCUCCACCCACAAAUCCGACCAUUCAUGAGUUGAUUUCUUCUAAUCCAAAAAGCACACCUUGUAUUUGCUAUUUUAUAUAAGGCACAUCAUUUUACUAUGCCCUUGUAUAUUAUGGGACUUGAGGCUAAAACCUUUUUAUUCAGAAAGGCUUUUAAAGAUUAAGGUGUUUAGAAUCUAGUCAGGGGUGCUAUGGUUUUUAAUUCUGAAUAUGUUUUGAUGAAUUUGAACCAUGAAUUUUUAGUGCUG
Molecule: long non-coding RNA, 1349 nt
Filed under: Anolis carolinensis (green anole)
Lineage: Eukaryota; Metazoa; Chordata; Lepidosauria; Squamata; Anolidae
Description: lncRNA (ENSACAG00000039340.1)
Source: RNAcentral